Lampris incognitus (smalleye Pacific opah) is the source of this 729-nucleotide long non-coding RNA. RefSeq lists it as uncharacterized. The record is from RefSeq and is a predicted model, not a curated record. NCBI's taxonomy places the organism in Eukaryota, Metazoa, Chordata, Actinopteri, Lampriformes, Lampridae. The transcript is spliced from 4 exons.
UGUAACUAUGGCGCCCUCUAGUGUAGGCUUAUAAAAUAGACGAGGAAAAGUCCAGAUAUCUUUUGUUUGUUUUCACCUGCGGAGGCGCCACUGUUGUUGGACUGUCGUAGUGAAGCUUCCCUUACAGCUCCCCACUGCCUUCUCAUAACGGUAGCGAGUAUAAAACGGUUCAAGUGGAUCUGAUGGGACACUUAGACGCCUAGUCAGACAGACUGGAAGGGCAGACUUUCAGCAAACAUUGUGGAUGAUUACAAACUGCUCUGGUGAUGUCGGGGGGGGGAUCUUGAGUAACAUCACGCCACUCUUGCAUUUAAGCUGGCAUGUCCUGAAAUGGUUUCGGUGUUGGACAAAGUCAUUUUCUGCAUCACCAGGAUCCCCAAAAACACCUAACAAGAAGUCCCCGAGUCAGCACUGUGAUAAACAUACUGUCCUGUUCAAUAAGGAACGACUCGCCAGACUUACCAAUGUACGCCAUUUGCCAUCUCCCCCACAGCUGAUUUCACAGCGAGAAAACCAUAGACGUUACAAGGAUAGACAGCAUUGAUUUAGUGUCCACUAGAGGCGUUACUUGAACUUAUUUUACCAUGUGUAAUAUGUUCCCUUGCCAAUUUAUGUCAGUCAACAACACUGCUGGACUAUUUGUUAUUUUAUGAUUUUACUUGUUUAAAAAUAGCUUUUCUCUCUUCCAUAUUAGUGCUAGAUUCUCUUGAAUGUUAUUAUAUUUUGUCA